CAAAGUGUAGCUUAAAUCAAAGCAUCUGGUUUACACCCAGAAGAUUUCACAUCCAAUGACCACUUUGA
RNAcentral lists this transfer RNA (68 nucleotides) under Eumetopias jubatus (Steller sea lion). RNAcentral's name for it is "transfer RNA-Val". It matches the Rfam family "tRNA". From Rfam's summary of the family: Transfer RNA (tRNA) molecules are approximately 80 nucleotides in length. Lineage: Eukaryota; Metazoa; Chordata; Mammalia; Carnivora; Otariidae. The record is from RNAcentral.